Molecule: ribosomal RNA, 2779 nt
Filed under: metagenome
Also listed under: 1 other name
Description: bacterial LSU rRNA
Rfam family: Bacterial large subunit ribosomal RNA
Source: RNAcentral
GUAAGAGCAUUUGGUGGAUGCCUUGGCAUGUGCAGGCGAUGAAGGACGUGGCACGCUGCGAUAAGCGUCGGGGAGAUGUGAGCAAUCUUUGAUCCGGCGAUUUCCGAAUGGGGAAACCCACCCUCACCAUUUCCUUUCGAUUGUUUUCGGACAGUCGGAAAGAGGUGGAUAGGGUAUCACCAGACUGAAUACAUAGGUUUGGUGAAGCGAACCCGGGGAACUGAAACAUCUCAGUACCCGGAGGAAAAGACAUCAACAGAGAUUCCCGUAGUAGUGGCGAGCGAACCGGGACCAGGCCAGUGCCUUCAUUUCAACUAGCAAAACACUUUGGAAAGAGUGGCCAUAGCGGGUGACAGCCCCGUAUGCGAAAGUGAUGAUGAAGGACUCGAGUAGGGCGGGACACGUGAAAUCCUGUCUGAACAUGGGGGGACCACCCUCCAAGCCUAAAUACUCGCACAUGACCGAUAGCGAACACAGUACCGUGAGGGAAAGGUGAAAAGCACCCCGAUUAGGGGAGUGAAACAGUACCUGAAACCGGAUGCUUACAAGCAGUUGGAGCCCCAUAGGGGGUGACAGCGUACCUCUUGCAUAAUGGGUCAGUGACUUAAUCUACCAUGCAAGCUUAAGCCGUUAGGUGUAGGCGCAGCGAAAGCGAGUCUGAAUAGGGCGACUGAGUAUGAUGGAUUAGACCCGAACCCCGGCGAUCUAGGCAUGGCCAGGUUGAAGGUGCAGUAACAUGCACUGGAGGACCGAACCGGUGAAUGUUGAAAAAUUCUCGGAUGAGCUGUGUUUAGGGGUGAAAGGCCAAUCAAGCCGGGAAAUAGCUGGUUCUCCGCGAAAUCUAUUGAGGUAGAGCGUCGGAUGUAUGCCGAUGGGGGUAGAGCACUGGAUGGGCUAGGGCUGCGCGAGCGGUACCAAACCUAACCAAACUCCGAAUACCAUCGAGUCUUAUCCGGCAGACAGACGGCGGGUGCUAAGGUCCGUCGUCAAAAGGGAAACAGCCCUAACCUACAGCUAAGGUCCCCAAGUCAUAUCUAAGUGGGAAAGCAUGUGGGAAUCCCAAAACAACCAGGAGGUUGGCUUAGAAGCAGCCAUCCUUUAAAGAAAGCGUAACAGCUCACUGGUCUAAACAAGGGUUCCUGCGGCGAAGAUGUAACGGGGCUAAAGAUAUGCACCGAAGCUUAGGGUUCAGAAUUUAUUCUGAGCGGUAGCGGAGCGUUCCGUAAGCGAGUGAAGGCGAAGGGUAACCGACGCUGGACGUAUCGGAAGUGCGAAUGCUGACAUGAGUAGCGACAAACAGGGUGAGAUGCCCUGUCGCCGAAAGACCAAGGGUUCCUGCGCAACGCUAAUCGGCGCAGGGUUAGCCGGCCCCUAAGACGAGCCCGAAGGGGGUAGUCGAUGGGAACCACGUAAAUAUUCGUGGGCCUGAAGAUGUGUGACGGAUCGUGGAAGUUGUUUUCUCUUAUUGGAUUGAGAGGGCAGCCAAGCGGUUCCAGGAAAUAGCCUCUUCACUAUAGACCGUACCCGAAACCGACACAGGUGGUCAGGUAGAGUAUACCAAGGCGCUUGAGAGAAGUAUCCUGAAGGAACUCGGCAAAUUGCCUCCGUACCUUCGGAAGAAGGAGGCCCCAUAUCGACGCAAGUCUUUGUGGGGGGCACAGGCCAGGGGGUAGCGACUGUUUAGCAAAAACACAGCACUCUGCUAAGUCGGCUUCAAGACGACGUAUAGGGUGUGACGCCUGCCCGGUGCUCGAAGGUUAAGAGGAGGAGUGCAAGCUCCGAAUUGAAGCCCGAGUAAACGGCGGCCGUAACUAUAACGGUCCUAAGGUAGCGAAAUUCCUUGUCGGGUAAGUUCCGACCUGCACGAAUGGCGUAACGACUUCCCCACUGUCUCCAGGAUAUGCUCAGCGAAAUUGAAUUCUCCGUGAAGAUGCGGAGUACCCGCGGUUAGACGGAAAGACCCCGUGCACCUUUACUGCAGCUUCAGAGUGGCAUUAGGAAAUUACUGUGUAGAAUAGGUGGGAGGCUUUGAAACAUCGGCGCCAGCUGGUGUGGAGCCAACCUGUGAAAUACCACCCUGUGAUUUUCUGAUGUCUAACCACGCACCGUUAUCCGGUGUUGGGACCCUCUGUGGCGGGUAGUUUGACUGGGGCGGUCGCCUCCUAAAGAGUAACGGAGGCGCGCGAUGGUAUGCUCAGGACGGUUGGAAACCGUCUGCAAGAGUGCAAUGGCAUAAGCAUGCCUGACUGCGAGACCGACAGGUCGAGCAGAGACGAAAGUCGGUCAUAGUGAUCCGGUGGUCCCUCGUGGAAGGGCCAUCGCUCAACGGAUAAAAGGUACGCCGGGGAUAACAGGCUGAUGAUUCCCAAGAGCUCAUAUCGACGGAAUCGUUUGGCACCUCGAUGUCGGCUCAUCACAUCCUGGGGCUGGAGCAGGUCCCAAGGGUUUGGCUGUUCGCCAAUUAAAGUGGUACGUGAGCUGGGUUCAGAACGUCGCGAGACAGUUUGGUCCCUAUCUGCCGUGGGCGUCGAUUGUUGAAAGGAGUUGCCCCUAGUACGAGAGGACCGGGGUGAACAUACCUCUGGUGUACCUGUCAUCCUGCCAAGGGUGCCGCAGGGUAGCUAUGUAUGGACGGGAUAACCGCUGAAAGCAUCUAAGCGGGAAGCCUCCCUUGAGAUAAGCAAUCUUCGAACCGUCAUAGACCAUGACGUUGAUAGGCCGGGUGUGGAAGCGCAGUAAUGCGUGUAGCUAACCGGUCCUAAUAGUUCUUUUCGCGCUU